UACGUAGGGCGCAAGCGUUGUCCGGAAUUAUUGGGCGUAAAGAGCUCGUAGGCGGUUUGUCGCGUCUGUCGUGAAAGCUUGGGGCUUAACCCCAAGUCUGCGGUGGAUACGGGCAGACUAGAGGCAGGUAGGGGAGAACGGAAUUCCCGGUGUAGCGGUGAAAUGCGCAGAUAUCGGGAGGAACACCGGUGGCGAAGGCGGUUCUCUGGGCCUGUGCUGACGCUGAGGAGCGAAAGCGUGGAGAGCGAACAGG
RNAcentral lists this ribosomal RNA (253 nucleotides) under uncultured bacterium. Its description in RNAcentral is "partial 16S ribosomal RNA". It matches the Rfam family "Bacterial small subunit ribosomal RNA", at positions 524 to 776 of the family's 1533-position model. The record is from RNAcentral.